Molecule: ribosomal RNA, 237 nt
Filed under: uncultured bacterium
Lineage: Bacteria
Description: partial 16S ribosomal RNA
Rfam family: Bacterial small subunit ribosomal RNA
Source: RNAcentral
AGAGCAAAUCUCAAAAAGAACAUCUCAGUUCAGAUUGCAGGCUGCAACUCGCCUGCAUGAAGUCGGAAUUGCUAGUAAUCGUAGGUCAGCAUACUACGGUGAAUACGUUCCCGGGCCUUGUACACACCGCCCGUCACACCAUGGGAGUCGGAAAUGCCCGAAGUCUGUGACCUAACCGAGAGGGAGGAGCAGCCGAAGGCAGGUCUGAUGACUGGGGUGAAGUCGUAACAAGGUACC